GACGAACGCUGGCGGCGUGCUUAACACAUGCAAGUCGAACGGUAAGGCCCUUCGGGGUACACGAGUGGCGAACGGGUGAGUAACACGUGGGUGAUCUGCCCUGCACUUCGGGAUAAGCCUGGGAAACUGGGUCUAAUACCGGAUAGGACCACUGCCUGCAUGGGUGGUGGUGGAAAGCUUUUGCGGUGUGGGAUGGGCCCGCGGCCUAUCAGCUUGUUGGUGGGGUGAUGGCCUACCAAGGCGACAACGGGUAGCCGGCCUGAGAGGGUGACCGGCCACACUGGGACUGAGAUACGGCCCAGACUCCUACGGGAGGCAGCAGUGGGGAAUAUUGCACAAUGGGCGCAAGCCUGAUGCAGCGACACCGCGUGAGGGAUGACGGCCUUCGGGUUGUAAACCUCUUUCAGCACCGACGAAGCGCAAGUGACGGUAGGUGCAGAAGAAGGACCGGCCAACUACGUGCCAGCCGCCGCAGUAA
This 478-nucleotide ribosomal RNA is filed under the name uncultured bacterium. RNAcentral's name for it is "partial 16S ribosomal RNA". It matches the Rfam family "Bacterial small subunit ribosomal RNA", at positions 28 to 523 of the family's 1533-position model. The record is from RNAcentral.